RNAcentral lists this ribosomal RNA (492 nucleotides) under uncultured bacterium. Its description in RNAcentral is "partial 16S ribosomal RNA". It matches the Rfam family "Bacterial small subunit ribosomal RNA", at positions 29 to 507 of the family's 1533-position model. The record is from RNAcentral.
AGUGAACGCUGGCGGUAGGCCUAACACAUGCCAGUCGAACGGCAGCACAGUAAGAGCUUGCUCUUACGGGUGGCGAGUGGCGGACGGGUGAGGAAUACAUCGGAAUCUACUUUUUCGUGGGGGAUAACGUAGGGAAACUUACGCUAAUACCGCAUACGACCUACGGGUGAAAGCAGGGGAUCUUCGGACCUUGCGCGAUUGAAUGAGCCGAUGUCGGAUUAGCUAGUUGGCGGGGUAAAGGCCCACCAAGGCGACAAUCCGUAGCUGGUCUGAGAGGAUGAUCAGCCACACUGGAACUGAGACACGGUCCAGACUCCUACGGGAGGCAGCAGUGGGGAAUAUUGGACAAUGGGCGCAAGCCUGAUCCAGCCAUACCGCGUGGGUGAAGAAGGCCUUCGGGUUGUAAAGCCCUUUUGUUGGGAAAGAAAAGCAGCAGGUUAAUACCCCGCUGUUCUGACGGUACCCAAAGAAUAAGCACCGGCUAACUUCGUG